Molecule: ribosomal RNA, 930 nt
Filed under: Triticum aestivum (bread wheat)
Lineage: Eukaryota; Viridiplantae; Streptophyta; Magnoliopsida; Poales; Poaceae
Description: partial small subunit ribosomal RNA
Source: RNAcentral
AUGUUUGCUACCUCGCGUGGUGGUUCUCAAUUUUGGAAGGCUUUGGUGAAAGUGAGGCCCCUUUUUCAGGCUCACGUUAAGUUUGUAGUCGGAGACGGUUCCUCCAUUAGGUUUUGGCUUGAUUGGUGGUGUGGAGAUUCACCGCUCUCCGUGACCUUCCCCACCUUAUUUUCGUACUGCCCUAACCUGGACAUUUCUAUUGCGAAGCUGGCGGCUAAUGGUUGGGACCUGGCCUUUCGCCGAUCCCUUUCGCCUGUAGAGUUUGAAGAUUGGCAACGUCUUACUGCUUUCUUCCCCACACUCUCGACAAACUUGGAUUCGGUGAUAUGGCCUCACACUGCUUCUGGUCGCUUCUCGGUUAAAUCGCUCUAUUCUAAGCUUAUUGGUGGCUCCCCUACUAACAGAUUCUCUCAGGUCUGGAAGGCCAGGAUCCCUCCUAAAGUUAAGAUUUUCUUAUGGCAAGCUUUUAGGGGCCGGCUGCAUUCGGCUGACCAAAUUCGUAAGAGAAAUGGUCCUGGUUCACAGUUAUGUGCCUUAUGUGGUGGCUUGGAGGAUACGGCUCAUAUCUUCUUCCAUUGUGUCCUGGCUAAGUUGAUCUGGAGUUGCAUGAGAGAGUGGCUUCAUGUAGCCUGGGACCCUGCUUCGUUCUCUCAGCUCCGGGCUCUUGCUAAUACCCUGUCGGGUGUUACCAAACGUAUCUUUUGGGUGGGCCUGGGAGCACAGUGUUGGUCUCUCUGGACGACUAGGAACAAAUUUACUAUUGAACAUGUGUUUCUGGCUAAACCUGCUGAUUGCUUAUUUAAAUUGUGUGCUCUCUUGCAGCAGUGGAAAUCAUUGACUAAGGAGGAAUACCAAGAUGCGCUGUCUGCGCUGAUCUCUAAAGUUCGGGCCUCGGCGUCUAUUCUAUGCAGACAAGAGCAGGAUGCUUAG